This 1430-nucleotide long non-coding RNA is filed under the name Carassius auratus (goldfish). RNAcentral describes it as "lncRNA (ENSCARG00000041850.1)". The record is from RNAcentral. Lineage: Eukaryota; Metazoa; Chordata; Actinopteri; Cypriniformes; Cyprinidae.
AUCGCACAUCUCAAAUUUGGGUAACAAUAAUUCCACCUCAUAUUAAAUGAUUGGAAUACAAAACAGUACAUUUAAUCUUUUAUGUAUUUAUUCAUUAAUUUAUUUUAAUGUUUUCUAAACGUUUAAGGUUCUGGCCCAAUUUUGCACCAAACAUCACGUUAAACAUAAAAACUUUGGGAAACCAGGAACUUGCUUUUUCGGUCUUGUGAUGAACUCACCCUGUGUGGUUUGGACUGCCUCCUGUGUCCCAUGUGUUUGGGUCUGUCACUUUUCUCUGAACUAGCACUGGUGGAUGAUUUACUCGACUGAGACUCUGACUCCAGCCCUGCGGCUCGCAAAGGUGGCGGUGACCCCUUCUCCUGUUUAAUGUGAAAGUGUCUGGAAGGGCCAUGACUACUUUGAUGUCGCCCUUUGUGUUUGGAGAGGUUGGUGUGGAUAGUUUCUGGGCUGGUGCUGGUGCCAUCAGUGAGCAUCUGAGAAUAUUGCCUGUGGUGCUGUUUACCAGAAGCAGCCCCUUGUCUUUCAGCUUUAGAAGGGUGGUGGGGUGGGUGUGGAGGGCUGGUCAGGUUUCGGCUGUGGUAUUUGCUCGGUCUCUUAUGUGAUCGAGAAAGUGAGCUUGAAUCAUUUUUUUCUGAAUCAGGUCUCUCAGUUCUGAUGGGCUGCUGUUUUGGUGAUGGCACAAAGCUCUCCUGCUUGCCGCUGCGGUUCUUGCGCUCUUCAUUGGGUGAUUUUGGUGGCGUUGAUGUGUUUACACCAAAAGAGCUAAGAGCACAGGGACUGAUAACCUGCUUGGUGAUCUCGUCCAGAAAUGCAGAGAACUGUAGCUUCCCUUUCACAAAGUUAUUCCCCGCAGCUUCCACAGAGAUCUGCUUGGAUGCCAGGGCUUGAUGUCGACUCUGUUCAAGGUGGAGAGGCAGAUCAGUCCAGUUCUACUGUACUCAGAUCGAAGGAAGAAAGAAUAUUACGAAGCCUCGUGAAGAAUGCCACUUCAUCCGGUCCCACUGAAUACUUCGGCAGGCAGGACAAUUUGUUGUGCUACAGAAGAUUUUCAACUGUACUUUACUUUUAAAAUGUUUAAUUACCCAGCCACUGCUCUGCGCAACUGUGCAGGGUGAAAGUUGCUUUACAAAUGUAUAGCAAUAGUCUGUUCAGCUGUUGCACAAAUGUGCUCCAAACUCCAAAUUUAGAGUGGCUGGGAAAAGCUGUGCAACUGUGCAGCUAUAUUUGGCACUGGCUAUAUAGCCAAAAGUUUUCUGGAAAAUAUUUGUUUGGGGUGGGGAGGGCUUUGCACUAUUCUCUCUCUUCUGCAGAAAUCUCAUCAGCCAGCUGUGUGGUGAAAGUUACAUGAUGUCGUCCUGUGGAGUCUGUAGUUAACAGGUGUCUGAAUCUUUAAACUUGAUUGUAGAAUCCUCAUUUAACAUUUUGUAAUC